This 468-nucleotide ribosomal RNA is filed under the name uncultured bacterium. RNAcentral's name for it is "partial 16S ribosomal RNA". It matches the Rfam family "Bacterial small subunit ribosomal RNA", at positions 28 to 507 of the family's 1533-position model. The record is from RNAcentral.
GACGAACGCUGGCGGCGUGCUUAACACAUGCAAGUCGAACGGAAAGGCCCUGCUUUUGUGGGGUGCUCGAGUGGCGAACGGGUGAGUAACACGUGAGUAACCUGCCCUUGACUUUGGGAUAACUUCAGGAAACUGGGGCUAAUACCGGAUAGGAGCUCUUGCUGCAUGGUGGGGGUUGGAAAGUUUCGGCGGUUGGGGAUGGACUCGCGGCUUAUCAGCUUGUUGGUGGGGUAGUGGCUUACCAAGGCUUUGACGGGUAGCCGGCCUGAGAGGGUGACCGGCCACAUUGGGACUGAGAUACGGCCCAGACUCCUACGGGAGGCAGCAGUGGGGAAUAUUGCACAAUGGGCGGAAGCCUAAUGCAGCAACGCCGCGUGCGGGAUGACGGCCUUCGGGUUGUAAACCGCUUUCGCCUGUGACGAAGCGUGAGUGACGGUAAUGGGUAAAGAAGCACCGGCUAACUACGUG